Molecule: long non-coding RNA, 1378 nt
Organism: Hippocampus comes (tiger tail seahorse)
Lineage: Eukaryota; Metazoa; Chordata; Actinopteri; Syngnathiformes; Syngnathidae
Exons: 2
Source: RefSeq, a predicted model, not a curated record
AAGGGAGAAGGGCGGUCCCUCUUUGGGUUUACGGUGGCGUAUGACUCCAGCGUGUCGUCCGAAAGGUCCCACUUGGUCUGGAUGAGUUAGAUGACAGAUGAGGUCGUAGCAAAGACGUAAUUAUCCACUGAGGAGUCCAAACAAUGGGAGUUCUGCUGAAUAAAGACUCGAGACUACUCGGUCAUUGGACAGUAUUGACCACAUCCACCGGCACAGCCAAUGUUGAUAAUAAUAACAAGAUGAGAUGACGGAGUUUUCAUCCCAAAACCGUCAGAGCCCAGAUGUGACUAUUCGUUGCGCCAAUGUUAGAAGUAAUAAAAUUAGGAAUAGAUGCCGUUGGUUGCAUAACGCUGUCUUAGACCUGCAAGCCACUCUUAACUUGCUGCAAUAACAAUAGCAGUCCGGUAUGCCGUUGCUAAGCAACAAAGCUGCUCAACACAUGGGUUGCUGCUCCAACAAACAGCAGCAACAGAUACAUAUUCUGCCUUUUUCUUAUUUUCCCUUAAUUGUUCGACUUCGAAAAGGAAGAAAAAAAAUUCCCUUCAGUAAGCAUGAGUGAAAAGUGAGACGACACAACACUCAAUAGUUUUUUGAACGUAUUGCCAGCAUGGAGGCUGCACUUGAAAUGAAGCUGACAAUAUUCCAGAAUAUUUUUGAAAUGCAAAUCCCCUACCAAAAAAUCAAAAACCAAACAAACCCAAUAUAACGGUAUGGAUCCUCUAACGAGAGAAGCAGGAGUGACAUCCUUUUGCUGUGGCAGUAUGGCAAGAGAGGAGGUAGAAAAAGAUCUAACUCAAGUAAGUACAGUUUGCUGUGACGAAGACAGUAUGGACUCCACAGCUCCUCAAGCAGAUCUCCAUUAGUAGAUGCUGUGUAGUGGCCUGCAGAUCCUUUAGCUGGAAGACAGCUCCUUUAAAUGGAAAGUCAUUUGAUUCUCAACAACACAGGCUAAAUGGACGCAUCUGUGAGUCAGUGAAUAGGCUUGUGUUAUCGGGAGCGAUUGUUCUGGUCAGCAACUGGGGCGAGGCAAAGCAAAAGAAGAGAGAGAGAAAAAAAAGCAUGAAAACACACAGUGUUUCCAGGCCACUGCCAGUCUUGUUGUCAAUGUCUCUUUGUGAUGCUAACAGCUAAUGGCUAGCAGUUAGCAGGUCAUCUUUGUUGCAAUCCGUUUGCUGGUUGGAGGUAGCGUGCUGCAAAAAUAUCAAUCCAGCAGAUGACUGGAGAUGUGGAGGCAGAGGUUGUGGGUCAAAGCAUUGAGACAGAAUGAAAAACUGAAGGCGACGAGAAGAGGCUCCGCUCCAUACAGGCAUUUAUGUUGGUGAGGAAGAACAGAAUGUAAAUUAGAAAAAAAAAAGAAAAAUAAUUUAAAAAAGCUUUA